Amblyraja radiata (thorny skate) is the source of this 111-nucleotide long non-coding RNA. RefSeq lists it as uncharacterized. NCBI's taxonomy places the organism in Eukaryota, Metazoa, Chordata, Chondrichthyes, Rajiformes, Rajidae. The transcript has 4 exons. The record is from RefSeq and is a predicted model, not a curated record.
GUGAAAGGUUGCAUAGGACAGGAGAGUCAGACCACGUGGUGUUGGAGUCUGCAACGGGGAGGCUGUGGGCCCGUUGCUGAGCCAGAAAUACUAGAUCCUCCCCCUUGUUGC